UGCAGUCGAGCGGUAGAGAGGUGCUUGCACCUCUUGAGAGCGGCGGACGGGUGAGUAAUGCCUAGGAAUCUGCCUGGUAGUGGGGGAUAACGUUCGGAAACGGACGCUAAUACCGCAUACGUCCUACGGGAGAAAGCAGGGGACCUUCGGGCCUUGCGCUAUCAGAUGAGCCUAGGUCGGAUUAGCUAGUUGGUGGGGUAAUGGCUCACCAAGGCGACGAUCCGUAACUGGUCUGAGAGGAUGAUCAGUCACACUGGAACUGAGACACGGUCCAGACUCCUACGGGAGGCAGCAGUGGGGAAUAUUGGACAAUGGGCGAAAGCCUGAUCCAGCCAUGCCGCGUGUGUGAAGAAGGUCUUCGGAUUGUAAAGCACUUUAAGUUGGGAGGAAGGGCAGUAAAUUAAUACUUUGCUGUUUUGACGUUACCGACAGAAUAAGCACCGGCUAACUCUGUGCCAGCAGCCGCGGUAAUACAGAGGGUGCAAGCGUUAAUCGGAAUUACUGGGCGUAAAGCGCGCGUAGGUGGUUAGUUAAGUUGGAUGUGAAAUCCCCGGGCUCAACCUGGGAACUGCAUUCAAAACUGACUGACUAGAGUAUGGUAGAGGGUGGUGGAAUUUCCUGUGUAGCGGUGAAAUGCGUAGAUAUAGGAAGGAACACCAG
This 660-nucleotide ribosomal RNA is filed under the name uncultured bacterium. RNAcentral describes it as "bacterial SSU rRNA". It matches the Rfam family "Bacterial small subunit ribosomal RNA", at positions 56 to 712 of the family's 1533-position model. The record is from RNAcentral.